AUUGAACGCUGGCGGCAGGCCUAACACAUGCAAGUCGAACGGUAGCACAGAGAGCUUGCUCUCGGGUGACGAGUGGCGGACGGGUGAGUAAUGUCUGGGAAACUGCCCGAUGGAGGGGGAUAACUACUGGAAACGGUAGCUAAUACCGCAUAACGUCGCAAGACCAAAGUGGGGGACCUUCGGGCCUCACACCAUCGGAUGUGCCCAGAGGGGAAUAGCUAGUAGGUGGGGUAAUGGCUCACCUAGGCGACGAUCCCUGGCUGGUCUGAGAGGAUGACCAGCCACACUGGAACUGAGACACGGUCCAGACUCCUACGGGAGGCAGCAGUGGGGAAUAUUGCACAAUGGGCGCAAGCCUGAUGCAGCCAUGCCGCGUGUAUGAAGAAGGCCUUCGGGUUGUAAAGUACUUUCAGCGGGGAGGAAGGCGGUGAAGUUAAUAACUUCACCGAUUGACGUUACCCGCAGAAGAAGCACCGGCUAACUCCGUGCCAGCAGCCGCCGUAA
RNAcentral lists this ribosomal RNA (504 nucleotides) under uncultured bacterium. Its description in RNAcentral is "partial 16S ribosomal RNA". It matches the Rfam family "Bacterial small subunit ribosomal RNA", at positions 29 to 523 of the family's 1533-position model. The record is from RNAcentral.